UACGGAGGGUGCAAGCGUUGCUCGGAAUUAUUGGGCGUAAAGGGUAGGUAGGUGGUCUCAUUUGUCUGGGGUGAAAGCCUUGAGCUUAACUCAAGAAGUGCCCCAGAAACGGUGAGACUAGAGUCCUGGAGAGGGUCGUGGAAUUCCCGGUGUAGCGGUGAAAUGCGUAGAUAUCGAGAGGAACACCUGCGGCGAAGGCGGGUUGCUGGGCUGACACUGACGCUGAUGCGCGAAAGCCAGGGGAGCGAACGGG
Molecule: ribosomal RNA, 253 nt
Filed under: uncultured bacterium
Lineage: Bacteria
Description: partial 16S ribosomal RNA
Rfam family: Bacterial small subunit ribosomal RNA
Source: RNAcentral